CUCUGCCACACACACGCAACAAAUAGUUGGGUGAUUACUAACACGCUCCUUUCUUGUUGAUGCAUGAAUCCACCUGAGCAGCAAUGAGGGUGCAACAUGGAGCAACAUGGAGCGGCGAGGUCGAGUAUCUGUAAGCACUUAGGCAAAGAGCAUGGGGCGAGGCUCCUGUAUGGAAUGGUGUGGGAAGGACAUAAGCAAGGGACAGAGAAGCUUCCUUUGAGGACAUUUUCUAUCCCAGGUUUUCCAUUUGAGAGCCUAUUUUACCUAUCAUAGAAAUUCCCAUCAGCUCUACAGGCCCCCAAAGAACAAUCCUGCCUAUUGUGGUGGUGCAACUUCACGUGUUGCCAACCCCAACCUCAAAUAAAAGCAAAUCACAGAGGAUUCAGUAAGGCACCGACCAAAAGGCGCCAAGGAAAAAGGUGCCACUAUAUUCAUAAAGAAAUGUAUUGGGUAACUCUUAGCACUACAACCCACCAGGACAUGGUGCUAUACAACAUUUAUGGUGCUGGGUUUUCUCUUGACACAGAUUGAUAGAUAGUUUCAAGGUAUACUAUGAAACAUCUUUAUAAAACAUACAUUUUAUGUGUUCCUGUCAUGCAUAAAAAGCUGAGCUUGCAAUCCUCAGUUCUGCAGACAGGUUAGAAACACGUUACCUCUAAGGACAGCGAGUACCACCAUGCUCUUUUCCUAGCUGGUAAUUUGAGAACUGCAGUUUUGGACUGUCUCUCUCCCAAGAAGCACCCGUGCUGUAACUUCAGAGGCUCUGGUGUAACGCUGGGGAGGUGGGAGAGCUGUUACUAUCCCUAGAACGGAGGUUUGCAGCUUGGCGAGGCGGCACCUUGUGUCUCUGUGGGUGACAAGCUGAUCAAUGAACCUUAAAAAAGAUUCCAAGAGCGACUUUUUUAUAUAUUUAAACUUUCAUGAGCAGCUUGAGAACUUCGGAGGAUGAAGAAAUGAGCUCUCCACAUCACCCAGUGAGCUCCUGACACAAAACAACUUCCGCAGCUGUAUAAAGGGGUGGGUGAAUGGAGGUGAAUUAUGCAGAGCAGUGGAAUGUCAAGUGCUCAACUCCAGAGAGCUCCUGCACUUAGUCGGGCACCCUGAAGCACCCCGAGAAGCUUCCAUCAGGAAAGACUGCAUCCUGACAGCAGCAGCAGGAAGAACUCCAAAAGCAGUGCUCCACAGAAAGCCCAGUCAUGCUCAAAAUGAAUUUAUUCCUAAUGUUUCAAUGGCAUCGACUGAGGAUGAUUCAGCUCUCGGUACUCAAAGCAUGAAGAUGAGUUGUCUUGUUUUAUUUUCCAGUUAUGACACUGAUUGUUACACUGCCAAGGCUUGGGGAGUUCUAAUAUUCAAUGCCAAGUAUUUAUGGUGGCAAACCACAAUUUUAUACUAAAGAAUGCUGCCAAUUCACUUAAUAUGUUUGAACAACUUAUUACUAAGGUGACAUAAAUUUCUGGAGCUUAGACAGGAUAUUUUCCAUCGAAAAAGUAUUUGUUUCCCUUGAGAAUAUUGACAGCGACUGAUAUCGAGCCCUUUUCUCCUUGAAGAGAACAUGUGCUGUAUCAAUCUUAUUUUCAAUUCCUGGAUACUGGGAGCAAACAAUUUUAAUUUGGCUCCUGCAGCCUUCCGUCCCGUAACCUUGGCAUGACCAUGCCCCUCGGGGUGUAGCAGUGACUGUAUGUGCUGAGGCUGAGGGCACACUGGCAACAGCCCACUUCAUGUGAGCAGCACCACAGCCUGAGUAUUGCAACACUCCUCAAGGCGCCCAAUCCCAGGCACCCACAUCUCAGUACUUUGUCUCAUGCACCUUUGUCUGUUUAUGGUGGAUUAAACCACACAAUGACCACAGCCAGUGUCUGACGGGAUCCUAUAAGGAUGUAGGAGAGAGACUCUUCAUCACGGACUGUGACGAUAGGAGCAGGGGUGGUGGGUUUGAACUUAAAUCAGAAGAAGUUCAGGUUGGAUAUAAGGCAGAAGUUCUUCCCUGUGAAGGUGCUGAGGCGCUGGCACAGGGUGCCCAGAGAAGCUGUGGCUGCCCCAUCCCUGGCAGUGUUCAAGGCCAGGGUGGACACAGGGGCUUGGAGCAACCUGCUCUAGUGGAAGGUGUCCCUGCCCGUAGCAGGGGGUUGGAGCUGAGUGAUCUGUAAGUCCUUUCUCAAUGAUUCCACGUAUCUCUCAGUGCCUGCAGCUCAUCACCGCACAACUGCUUCACACCUCAGACCUUCCCCUGCCUUUCCUAACGGGACCCAGUGAGCACUGCCAGCUCUUCACCUUCCCCUUCCACCCGCACAGUCCUCCACGGAACCCGCGUGGGUUCCAUGUCCCUAAAGGUCCCUGCGCUUUCUUUUAACAACUAAUUAUUUCCCGGCCCUACGCUCCCGGCGCUCGGCUCUUCCCCUCACGGCGCCAGUCCCCGGCUCGGCCCCGCCGCCACCAUCACCUCCACACCGCGCCGCCGGCCGGAAGUGCCGCAUGACGCACGAGCACCA
This is a long non-coding RNA of Strigops habroptila (Kakapo), 2489 nucleotides long. The record is from Ensembl. NCBI's taxonomy places the organism in Eukaryota, Metazoa, Chordata, Aves, Psittaciformes, Psittacidae.